AUUGAACGCUGGCGGCAGGCCUAACACAUGCAAGUCGAGCGGAUGAAGGGAGCUUGCUCCUGGAUUCAGCGGCGGACGGGUGAGUAAUGCCUAGGAAUCUGCCUGGUAGUGGGGGAUAACGUCCGGAAACGGGCGCUAAUACCGCAUACGUCCUGAGGUAGAAAGUGGGGGAGCUUCGGACCUCACGCUAUCAGAUGAGCCUAGGUCGGAUUAGCUAGUUGGUGGGGUAAAGGCCUACCAAGGCGACGAUCCGUAACUGGUCUGAGAGGAUGAUCAGUCACACUGGCACUGAGACACGGUCCAGACUCCUACGGGAGGAAGCAGUGGGGAAUAUUGGACAAUGGGCGAAAGCCUGAUCCAGCCAUGCCGCGUGUGUGAAGAAGGUCUUCGGAUUGUAAAGCAAUUUAAGUUGGGAGGAAGGGAAGUAAGUUAAUACCUUGCUGUUUUGACGUUACCAACAGAAUAAGCACCGGCUAACUUCGUG
This 484-nucleotide ribosomal RNA is filed under the name uncultured bacterium. Its description in RNAcentral is "partial 16S ribosomal RNA". It matches the Rfam family "Bacterial small subunit ribosomal RNA", at positions 30 to 507 of the family's 1533-position model. The record is from RNAcentral.